RNAcentral lists this ribosomal RNA (578 nucleotides) under Colletotrichum sp. BDS-2011. RNAcentral describes it as "eukaryotic LSU rRNA". The stretch from base 216 to 369 matches the Rfam family "5.8S ribosomal RNA". Lineage: Eukaryota; Fungi; Ascomycota; Sordariomycetes; Glomerellales; Glomerellaceae. The record is from RNAcentral.
UCGUAACAAGGUCUCCGUUGGUGAACCAGCGGAGGGAUCAUUACUGAGUUUACGCUCUACAACCCUUUGUGAACAUACCUAUAACUGUUGCUUCGGCGGGUAGGGUCUCCGUGACCCUCCCGGCCUCCCGCCCCCGGGCGGGUCGGCGCCCGCCGGAGGAUAACCAAACUCUGAUUUAACGACGUUUCUUCUGAGUGGUACAAGCAAAUAAUCAAAACUUUUAACAACGGAUCUCUUGGUUCUGGCAUCGAUGAAGAACGCAGCGAAAUGCGAUAAGUAAUGUGAAUUGCAGAAUUCAGUGAAUCAUCGAAUCUUUGAACGCACAUUGCGCCCGCCAGCAUUCUGGCGGGCAUGCCUGUUCGAGCGUCAUUUCAACCCUCAAGCUCUGCUUGGUGUUGGGGCCCUACAGCUGAUGUAGGCCCUCAAAGGUAGUGGCGGACCCUCCCGGAGCCUCCUUUGCGUAGUAACUUUACGUCUCGCACUGGGAUCCGGAGGGACUCUUGCCGUAAAACCCCCAAUUUUCCAAAGGUUGACCUCGGAUCAGGUAGGAAUACCCGCUGAACUUAAGCAUAUCAAUA